This is a long non-coding RNA of Salvelinus fontinalis (brook trout), 1050 nucleotides long. RefSeq lists it as uncharacterized. The record is from RefSeq and is a predicted model, not a curated record. The transcript has 5 exons. NCBI's taxonomy places the organism in Eukaryota, Metazoa, Chordata, Actinopteri, Salmoniformes, Salmonidae.
ACUUUCUGGAGGACUGAGUUUUGAAAUCAGUAGAAUUCGAGUAUGAUAGCUAAGGAGAUGGAGAAAACAUCAGUCUGGAUUACAUAUUCAAACUAAGGGCAACCAUGCAAUGCAACAGACAGGAGACCAUCCAACCAUGAUGUACGAUGUCUAAAAAGCCCCAUAAGCCCAUAAGGGAGUGCGUACAUUUGCCACCACAGGGGUUUGGCCUGCCGAUGCGGGCAAUAGGCCAGCUCCGAGGUGGUAUAACCUUUCAUAGAUAGAGAAUUGUCAAAUGCAGGUCCGUGGACAACUCCUCCAGGGGAUUCAGAGAUGAUGUGUUUGUGGAUUUCACCCCCAGAACAGGUCUCUACCAGUGGACCUACUGGACCAGUACCUACAGCUCCACCAGUGCCUGUGUCUGCUGUACAGGCUCCUUCAUUGACGACUGCAUUGAAUUUGUCAAUGCAUCAGUAGAACAAGUCUGACUCCUCCACCAGUCAUACAAGGAGAAUGGUCUAAUGCCUCCCAUUAAAAAGAGAGCAUGCGCAAGCAAUCACAGGUUACACCUGAAGCAUAAGGACUUGCAGCGAAUUGUGAACUUCAUGAACAACUACAGUGGGGAGAACAAGUAUUGGAUGCACUGCCGAUUUUGCAGGUUUUCCUACUUACAAAGCAUGUAGAGGUCUGUAAUUUUUUAUCAUAGGUACACUUCAACUGUGAGAGACGGAAUCUAAAACAAAAAUCCAGAAAAUUACAUUUUUUGUUUGAUCACAAAGCAAACCCUCCUAGUGUAUCUGUUUGGAAUACCCAAGCUCUUAUCAUUGAACAAUUCUAAGCAUUUUUAGAAUACCAAAUCAAAGAUAUCUUAAAACAUUCCCCCCAAAUACGAGAAUAAAGACUACCAACCUUUUCUUUAGACUGGGAAAAGCAAUGUAUUUUGGAUCUCGUCACCACCUCUGUCGUGUACCAGUUCGCCCCUGGCCUGAAAUUGACCCUCAACUCAGAGGUCAGGUCUUUGUCUCAGCAAUAAUAGUUUUCAGAGCCCUCUACUGUUCUCUCUACCCAUCC